GGAGACGUAUCGAAGUGGUCAUAACGAGCCGCACUCGAAAUGCGGUGUACGGCAACGUACCGUGGGUUCGAAUCCCACCGUCUCCGCCA
This 89-nucleotide transfer RNA is filed under the name Gallicola sp. RNAcentral describes it as "tRNA-Ser". It matches the Rfam family "tRNA". Rfam says of the family: Transfer RNA (tRNA) molecules are approximately 80 nucleotides in length. Their secondary structure includes four short double-helical elements and three loops (D, anti-codon, and T loops). Further hydrogen bonds mediate the characteristic L-shaped molecular structure. tRNAs have two regions of fundamental functional importance: the anti-codon, which is responsible for specific mRNA codon recognition, and the 3' end, to which the tRNAs corresponding amino acid is attached (by aminoacyl-tRNA synthetases). tRNAs cope with the degeneracy of the genetic code in two manners: having more than one tRNA (with a specific anti-codon) for a particular amino acid; and 'wobble' base-pairing, i.e. permitting non-standard base-pairing at the 3rd anti-codon position. Lineage: Bacteria; Bacillati; Bacillota; Tissierellia; Tissierellales; Peptoniphilaceae. The record is from RNAcentral.